UUAUGAGAUUUUUGAUCUGCUCAGGAUGAACGCUGCGGCGUGCCUAAUACAUGCAAGUCGAGCGAACAGAUGAGAAGCUUGCUUCUCUGAUGUCAGCGGCGGACGGGUGAGUAACACGUGGGUAACCUACCUAUAAGACUGGGAUAACUCCGGGAAACCGGGGCUAAUACCGGAUAAUAUUUUGAACCGCAUGGUUCAUAGUGAAAGACGGUUUCGGCUGUCACUUAUAGAUGGACCCGCGCCGUAUUAGCUAGUUGGUAAGGUAACGGCUUACCAAGGCGACGAUACGUAGCCGACCUGAGAGGGUGAUCGGCCACACUGGAACUGAGACACGGUCCAGACUCCUACGGGAGGCAGCAGUAGGGAAUCUUCCGCAAUGGGCGAAAGCCUGACGGAGCAACGCCGCGUGAGUGAUGAAGGUCUUCGGAUCGUAAAACUCUGUUGUUAGGGAAGAACAAAUUUGUUAGUAACUGAACAAGUCUUGACGGUACCUAACCAGAAAGCCACGGCUAACUACGUGCCAGCAGCCGCGGUAAUACGUAGGUGGCAAGCGUUAUCCGGAAUUAUUGGGCGUAAAGCGCGCGUAGGCGGUUUCUUAAGUCUGAUGUGAAAGCCCACGGCUCAACCGUGGAGGGUCAUUGGAAACUGGGAAACUUGAGUGCAGAAGAGGAGAGUGGAAUUCCAUGUGUAGCGGUGAAAUGCGCAGAGAUAUGGAGGAACACCAGUGGCGAAGGCGGCUCUCUGGUCUGUAACUGACGCUGAUGUGCGAAAGCGUGGGGAUCAAACAGGAUUAGAUACCCUGGUAGUCCACGCCGUAAACGAUGAGUGCUAAGUGUUAGGGGGUUUCCGCCCCUUAGUGCUGCAGCUAACGCAUUAAGCACUCCGCAUGGAGAG
RNAcentral lists this ribosomal RNA (894 nucleotides) under Mammaliicoccus sciuri. RNAcentral describes it as "bacterial SSU rRNA". It matches the Rfam family "Bacterial small subunit ribosomal RNA", at positions 1 to 880 of the family's 1533-position model. The record is from RNAcentral. Lineage: Bacteria; Bacillati; Bacillota; Bacilli; Caryophanales; Staphylococcaceae.